RNAcentral lists this ribosomal RNA (305 nucleotides) under uncultured bacterium. Its description in RNAcentral is "bacterial SSU rRNA". It matches the Rfam family "Bacterial small subunit ribosomal RNA", at positions 337 to 639 of the family's 1533-position model. The record is from RNAcentral.
ACCUACGGGGGGCAGCAGUGAGGAAUAUUGGUCAAUGGUCGGGAGACUGAACCAGCCAAGCCGCGUGAGGGAUGAAGGUACAGUGUAUCGUAAACCUCUUUUGUCAGGGAACAAAGGCGGGGACGUGUCCCCGGAUGAGUGUACCUGAAGAAAAAGCAUCGGCUAACUCCGUGCCAGCAGCCGCGGUAAUACGGAGGAUGCGAGCGUUAUCCGGAUUUAUUGGGUGUAAAGGGUGCGUAGACGGGAAAACAAGUUAGUUGUGAAAUCCCUCAGCUUAACUGAGGAACUGCAACUAAAACUGAUUU